This is a non-coding RNA of Balaenoptera acutorostrata (minke whale), 672 nucleotides long. Lineage: Eukaryota; Metazoa; Chordata; Mammalia; Artiodactyla; Balaenopteridae. The record is from the annotation of a RefSeq genome assembly.
AUGCUCCUGCUGCUUAUCCCAGCGCUUGAGAUGGUUUUUGCCCUGAGAGGAACGGGAGCCCAGUUGGUGACCCAGCCUGACGAUCUCAUCACUGUCUCUGAAGGAGCCCGUCUGGAGCUGAGGUGCAACUACUCAUCUUCUCUUUCAACCUAUCUCUUCUGGUACGUGCAGUACCCCAACCAAGGGCUCCAGCUUCUCCUGAAGUACACAUCUGGAAACAGCCUUGUCUCAGGCAUCAAAGGUUUUGAGGCUGAAUUUAGGAGGAGUGAAAGCUCCUUCCACCUGAGGAAACCCUCAGCCCAUUGGAGUGACUCGGCUGAAUACUUCUGUGCUCUGAGUGACACAGUGCCUGAGUCUGCAAGGGGAGCUGAGCACAAACUUCCUGAGACCUUGGGACUUUUUGUGACUCAAGAACUCGCGAGAGUUUCCAAGAGGGUCUUUUUUUCUGGGAAGGCAAAUAGGGCGGGCUGGGCUGGGCCCUGGGGAAUUCUUAUCUCUGGAAUAGUUGCUUCUAUAUCGGUGCUGUGCCACAUUCAGAUAGACUUUAUGUGGGAUGGAGGUCUUCUGAUGAGUUUCUCCGGAGGGAUGCCCCCUCAGCAACUCCCCUCCCCAUCCCCCCACACUGAAGAAAAUACAUCAGAAAGCGUCAGAGUUCUUAAGUCAAAAAGGUGA